RNAcentral lists this ribosomal RNA (468 nucleotides) under uncultured bacterium. Its description in RNAcentral is "partial 16S ribosomal RNA". It matches the Rfam family "Bacterial small subunit ribosomal RNA", at positions 28 to 507 of the family's 1533-position model. The record is from RNAcentral.
GACGAACGCUGGCGGCGUGCUUAACACAUGCAAGUCGAACGGAAAGGCCCUGCUCUUGUGGGGUGCUCGAGUGGCGAACGGGUGAGUAACACGCGAGUAACCUGCCCUUGACUUUGGGAUAACUUCAGGAAACUGGGGCUCAUACCCGAUAGGAGCUCCUGCUGCAUGGUGGGGGUUGGAAAGUUUCGGCGGUUGGGGCUGGACUCGCGGCUUAUCAGCUUGUUGGUGGGGUAGUGGCUUACCAAGGCUUUGACGGGUAGCCGGCCUGAGAGGGUGGCCGGCCACAUUGGGACUGCGAUACGGCCCAGACUCCUACGGGAGGCAGCAGUGGGGAAUAUGGCAGAGUGGGCGGAAGCCUGAUGCAGCAAUGCCGCGAGCGUGAUGACGGGCUUCGGGUUGUGAACCGCUUUCGCCUGUGACGAAGCGUGCGUGACGGUAAUGGGUCAAGAAGCACCGGCUAACUACGUG